This 155-nucleotide ribosomal RNA is filed under the name uncultured bacterium. RNAcentral's name for it is "partial 16S ribosomal RNA". It matches the Rfam family "Bacterial small subunit ribosomal RNA", at positions 352 to 525 of the family's 1533-position model. The record is from RNAcentral.
CAGUGUGGAAUCUUAGACAAUGGGGGCAACCCUGAUCUAGCCAUGCCGCGUGAGUGAUGAAGGCCUUAGGGUAGUAAAGCUCUUUCAGCUGGGAAGAUAAUGACGGUACCAGCAGAGAAACCCCGGCUAACUCCGUGCCAGCAGCCGCGGUAAUA